CUGGGAAAGGAAGUCACCUCUUCGCUUACCACCCCUCAAUGUCCCUUCAGUGUCCCUGGCAGAGGCUGGAUCCUUGGGGUGCUCCCCCAGAUCUUCGGAGGGAGUCACGCCAUUCACCAUCUUCUGCUGCACCGACGGGGGCGGGGUGGGGGGCAGCGACGAGGGUGGUGUCGGCGGGUUACUCAGGUUAUUCUGAGGGGUGGGGUGGGUGUUGUGUACAAAAUGGCAUAGGGACACUUAUGUAAUCUCCUGGUCCCACACUAGUCAGCAAUUCCCUCCAGUUUUCCACCCGUUUCCACCUCCCUAAGAACUUCAUUAUUCCCAAAAGAUAUUGCCAUUUUUCUGACCUUGGUAAGCAGCUGGGAGUAGUAGUCAGGGCCAGUGGGCAGUGCCCCACUUCCAAAGGCCCCUCUCAGCUGGCUCUGCCCACUGAUUUGGCAGCCACUGCCAAAGGGAGCAAAGAGGCUAAAGUUGGCGGUGAUGGUAGGCUCCGUCAAGGGCAGCAGGGACAGCUCCUAAGAGGGGCAAGAUGAUCAAGUUGGAAACUUGCAGCGUUUGUACCUGUCAUUGCACGGCUGGGGGACAGGGUGCUCCCUAUCCUGGGAUGGGACCAGGGGACUGGCUCCUGGGGGUCACCUGUUUCAGCUGUUUCAGCAAGGCCUCGUUGGCCCUGACCCCGUCCUCCUUCCGCAGCUUCUUUCGGGAGCUCACCAACCUGUCGCUUGCCUUCUGUACCCGCUUGGGCUUUGGUGUCAAAGGCUUCCUUGCUGCUGCAUCCUAAGCCAGAUAAGCCCUGUGAAGGCUGCUGCUCUCAUCCUUAGAGACCUCACCCGUUGUCUGACCCAGACGUGUUUGCUCUGCUCCCGCCCUCCAGGACCCAUGCUGUCUGAUCCACUCUAACCAGAGUACUUACCUCCUUGUUGUUGGGGGUACCCUGUAGUUUCUGCUCCAGCCCGGCCAGCUUGCUGUCAAUGUGCCCGUUGAUCUCAGCUCGAAGCCCCUCAGGCCCCCGCCCAGCGCUGAGUUGCACAUUCUUUGCGCGUAGAAGCUUCUGCAAGAGCAGAUGCCCAGCCUCUGAGCGGGGGCCUGCCAGCAGGAGGUGGUUGCUGGUACCUGAUGCCCCUACUGGUUCCCCAUUGGCCUCCCUCUUCACCGCCUGGGCUCCCAGGGCACAUGGCUCUUCCCGAGGCUCCUGCUUGAUGCUGAGUUGGGGUGGCUCAGGUACCACCUGUCCAUUCACCUGCUCCAGAUGCCCAGGCACCAGGCUGCACUGCUCUGGCUUCUGGGCUUCUGCUAGGUUGUCUGGGGGGUCCCAAGGUCCCAGCCCCUUGCCAAAGAAGGUAUCCGAAAGCUGGGCAGCAGCAGGUGAGACCCUCCCAGGAGGCAGCUCCAAGGUUGGCCCCUGGGGCUUUGGGGUGUCUGGAUGGGUGUGGGUGAGCUGGGCACUGGGGGAAGGUAAUUGUGAAGAAGGUCUCUUUGGCUCUUGGGGACUGGGUGAUGGAGGUGUGGGAUGGACAGGGCCAACGCCUGGUCCUGUGGAUAAGGCUCCUUGUGGGGCAGAGAGCCGGAGUGGGCCCUGAGGUCGAGGUCCUGCCCCCAGCUCCUGAAGAGGGCCUGUCUGAGAUCCAGUGAAGCCCCCAGGUUGAGGUUGGCAGCCCAGGAGGCCCUGGAGGGGAGUGGGUUGGGUUCCAGGCUCCUGGUAGGGUGGAGUCUGGCGUACUGCCUGACUCUGCUGCAGCUGCCGCUGCAAGAGGAGGGCCUGUAGCUGCUGCUGCUGCUGAGGGCUCAAGUGCCGCAGCUGUGGGUUUUUGGCCAGGACUCCUUGGAGCUGUGCUCGAAGCUGACCCACUGUAGGCGUGACUCCAACCCCAGGUAGACCCUGCCCAGACUGGGGGACAGGUCCUGGUUUGGGAGGCUGUGCCCCUGCAUUAUUCUGCAUAGGCCGCUCUAGCCCAAGGGGCUGUUGGGGGCCCAGAACAUUCUGGGUCAUGGGCCCAGGCUGCUCCCCUAAGGAAACAGGGGGUUGGGCCAGCAGGUGGGGCAUAGAUGAGGCCUCAGAAGAUGAUCCACUGCCUAUUUGCCCAUGGUUUCCUACACCUGCUGAGUGGAGUAAGUUAACUUGCUGCUGUGGUUGUCCUGGGAGCCUCAAAGGUGGCUGCAGCUGCAAAGAGUUGGACUGAGGCUGGGCCUGGGGUUGGACAAGCAGAAGUUGUGAGUCCCCAGAGAGGGAGGGCUUUACCUCCCCUGGUUCCGUAGCCACUGACUCAGAUGCAGGACCUACUGUUAAUGGCCCUCCCUGAUGUGCUGAGGGCCCCUCAGUGACCUCUGAAGGAAGAGCCGUCUCUACAGUGUUUUGUUCCUUGCCCGUCAGAAGGAGGGUUGGGCCCAGGGCUCCGGGGCUAGAAAAGUGUUGAAGAGGCUUGGCUGGCAUGCCAGGGCCAAGUGUCACCUGCUGUUGCUGUUGCUGCUGAGGAGAUAACAAAGUUCGACUCUGAUUCAAGAGGCACAUCUGCUGUUGCUGUUGCUGUUGCUGUUGCUGUUGCUGCUGCUGCUGCUGCUGCUGUUGCUGCUGUUGCCUGCUGCUGUUGCUGCUGCUGUUGCUGCUGCCAUAGUUGCUGCUGUUGCUGCUGCUGUAAGGGCAGGGAUCCAGGAUAGGGCACUCGCUGAUAGAAGGCCUGGGAGCCUCCUACCAGUUGCCUGGAAGAACACACAGUAGUCAGUGAGAUAUAGUCAGGCUGGAGAGCUAAAAGAGGGGCUUGG
This is a long non-coding RNA of Heterocephalus glaber (naked mole-rat), 2760 nucleotides long. The record is from Ensembl. NCBI's taxonomy places the organism in Eukaryota, Metazoa, Chordata, Mammalia, Rodentia, Bathyergidae.